RNAcentral lists this ribosomal RNA (484 nucleotides) under uncultured bacterium. Its description in RNAcentral is "partial 16S ribosomal RNA". It matches the Rfam family "Bacterial small subunit ribosomal RNA", at positions 30 to 507 of the family's 1533-position model. The record is from RNAcentral.
AUUGAACGCUGGCGGAAUGCUUUACACAUGCAAGUCGAGCGGCAGCACGGGGGCAACCCUGGUGGCGAGCGGCGAACGGGUGAGUAAUACAUCGGAACAUGCCCAGUCGUGGGGGAUAACACUUCGAAAGAAGUGCUAAUACCGCAUACGUCCUGAGGGGGAAAGCGGGGGAUCGCAAGACCUCGCGCGAUUGGAGUGGCCGAUGUCAGAUUAGCUAGUUGGUGGGGUAAAGGCCUACCAAGGCAACGAUCUGUAGCUGGUCUGAGAGGAUGAUCAGCCACACUGGGACUGAGACACGGCCCAGACUCCUACGGGAGGCAGCAGUGGGGAAGUUUGGACAAUGGGGGCAACCCUGAUCCAGCCAUUCCGCGUGAGUGAAGAAGGCCUUCGGGUUGUAAAGCUCUUUCGGCAGGAACGAAACGGUGAGCUCUAACAUAGCUUGCUAAUGACGGUACCUGAAGAAGAAGCACCGGCUAACUACGUG